AUUGAACGCUGGCGGCAUGCCUUACACAUGCAAGUCGAACGGCAGCACGGGUGCUUGCGCCUGGUGGCGAGUGGCGAACGGGUGAGUAAUACAUCGGAACAUGUCCUGUAGUGGGGGAUAGCCCGGCGAAAGCCGGAUUCAUACCGCAUACGAUCUACGGAUGACAGCGGGGGACCUUCGGGCCUCGCGCUAUAGGGUUGGCCGAUGGCUGAUUAGCUAGUUGGUGGGGUAAAGGCCUACCAAGGCGACGAUCAGUAGCUGGUCUGAGAGGACGACCAGCCACACUGGGACUGAGACACGGCCCAGACUCCUACGGGAGGCAGCAGUGGGGAAUUUUGGACAAUGGGCGAAAGCCUGAUCCAGCAAUGCCGCGUGUGUGAAGAAGGCCUUCGGGUUGUAAAGCACUUUUGUCCGGAAAGAAAUCCUUCUCCCUAAUACGUUCAGGGGAUGACGGUACCGGAAGAAUAAGCACCGGCUAACUACGUG
RNAcentral lists this ribosomal RNA (486 nucleotides) under uncultured bacterium. RNAcentral's name for it is "partial 16S ribosomal RNA". It matches the Rfam family "Bacterial small subunit ribosomal RNA", at positions 30 to 507 of the family's 1533-position model. The record is from RNAcentral.